GGGAUAUUUUCCCUGCCAACUUUUGACCCCAAUGUCUGCAUCAUUCUGCCCCAAUGAUGAGGGUGAGGAUCAGUAUGAAAACACUGAUGAAGAGGAAGAGGAUGGAAAUGAAAAACCUGAAGGACUCUAAAUGGAUGUGGUCUCAGCAAAGAGCAGCUCUGGAUAAUACAGUUUUCAUGCAUGUGGAUGUUUGAUAAAGCCUCAUCCUCAUUUUACACAUGUGGAAACUGAAGUGGGAAGGCAUAGAAAAAGCAGACAGCAAAAGAAAAGAUGAAUCUGUUCUUCAUGGAUAUUCUUGUUUUCAUUAGCCUGAAAUACUAAUUUUGUUUCAAAGUUUCAAUGCCCCAAAGUGAUACUAACUACUGACAUCUGACUUUACUCUUACCUUUUACAGAUAAUUUGAUAGUAUUGUUCACAUUGGAAAUAAAAGCUUGUUUGAAAGUAAUAA
Molecule: long non-coding RNA, 448 nt
Organism: Bos taurus (domestic cattle)
Lineage: Eukaryota; Metazoa; Chordata; Mammalia; Artiodactyla; Bovidae
Source: Ensembl